AUGGAAGUCAUACUCAGGGAGUUUGCUUCAGCCAAGGCAGAGCAGCUGAUCUUGUGGCAAACAAUAGUUUGGUGUUGUAGGUCCAAAGUACGGUGGUGCGUCUCCGGAGACAAGAACUGCCAGUUCUUUCAUGCAGCAGCCAACUGCCAGGCCCGUCGCAAUAGGAUCAAGGUUAUUAUCCAGGAUGGGGUGGAGCAUUUUGAGAACUGUCAAAAGCUAGACUUGGCUACAAACUACUUUACUGCAAUCUUGGGCCAGCCUGCUUCUUCUAUGCCUAUGGUUGAUUUGAGCUCCAUGUAUACUCAGUUGGAUCUUUCAGAACUCGUGGGGAUGUUCUCUUGGGCAGAGAUCUUGGAGGCUAUUGACAGUUCACCAAAUAACAGAAGUCCAGGCCCGGAUGGUUUCACCAAUGAAUUUUAUAAAGUUUUUAAACUUCUGUUGAAGGAUGAUCUCCUCAGGUUCUUUGGUGAUUUCCACAGAAAUGAGGUCGCUUUAGAUGGCAUCAAUACUGCUUUCAUUAUGCCACUGCCAAAGAAGGAUACACCAUUGGAGUUGCGAGACUAUAGGCCUAUUUCUCUGGUGCAUAGUACACCCAAACUGGCUUCCAAGGUUCUGGCAAAUCGGCUGAAGAGGUGGAUUCCUUCUUUGAUACACUCUCUGCAGUAUGGGUUCUUGCGGGGACGAUCGAUCGUCGAGAACUUGGCUUUGGCUACUGAAAUGAUCCAGUAUGAUCACAAUAGGAAGAUGCCAGUUAUUGCUUUGAAGUGGGAUUUCCACAAAGCUUUUGACAGUGUCAGUUGGUGUUGUCUCAAGAAAAUAUUUGAAGCCAGAGGGUUUCCGCAGUUGUGGAUGACAUGA
Molecule: ribosomal RNA, 858 nt
Filed under: Triticum aestivum (bread wheat)
Lineage: Eukaryota; Viridiplantae; Streptophyta; Magnoliopsida; Poales; Poaceae
Description: partial small subunit ribosomal RNA
Source: RNAcentral